Molecule: RNA transcript, 336 nt
Organism: Mandrillus leucophaeus (drill)
Lineage: Eukaryota; Metazoa; Chordata; Mammalia; Primates; Cercopithecidae
Gene name: metallothionein-1F pseudogene
Exons: 1
Source: RefSeq, a predicted model, not a curated record
AUGGACCCCAACUGCUCCUGAGCCGCUGGUUUCUCCUGUGCCUGCGCCGGCUCCUGCAAGUGGAAAGAGUGCAAAUGCACCUCCUGCAAGAAGAGCUGUUGCUCCUGCUGCCUUGUGGGCUGUGCCAAGUGUGCCCAGGUCUACAUCUGCAAAGGGGCUUUGGAGAAGUGCAGCAGUUGCACCUGAUGUCGGUUCAGCCCUGCUCCCAAGUAUAAAUAGAGUGACCCGUAAAAUCCAGGAAUUUUGGUUUUUGAUACCACCUUAAACCAUUUGCUACGUUCCUUUUUCUGUGAAAUAUGUGAGUAAUAAUUAAACACUUAGACUUGAAAAAAAAAA